GGGGAUGCAAGCGUUAUCCGGAAUCAUUGGGCGUAAAGCGCCUGUAGGUUGUUUAAUAAGUCUGUUGUUAAAGACUAGGGCUUAACCCUAGAAAAGCAAUGGAAACUACUAGACUAGAGUAUGGCAGGGGUAGAGGGAAUUUCUAGUGUAGCGGUGAAAUGCGUAGAUAUUAGAAAGAACACCGGUGGCGAAAGCGCUCUACUGGACCAUUUACUGACACUCAGAGGCGAAAGCUAGGGUAGCAAAAGGGAUUAGAUACCCCUGUAGUCCUAGCCGUAAACGAUGGAUACUACAUGUUGUGUUUAUUUCACAGUAUGGUAGCUAACGCGUUAAGUAUCCCGCCUGGGGAGUACGCUCGCAAGGGUGAAACUCAAAGGAAUUGACGGGGGCCCGCACAAGCGGUGGAGCAUGUGGUUUAAUUCGAUGCAACGCGAAGAACCUUACCAGGGCUUGACAUACUGCGAAUCUUUCCGAAAGGAAAGAGUGCCUUCGGGAAUGCAGAUACAGGUGGUGCAUGGCUGUCGUCAGCUCGUGUCGUGAGAUGUUGGGUUAAGUCCCGCAACGAGCGCAACCCUUGUUUUUAGUUACCAAUUCGUUGGGUUUUCUAGAAAGACUGCCGGUGACAAACCGGAGGAAGGUGAGGAUGACGUCAAGUCAGCAUGCCCCUUAUGUCCUGGGCUACACACGUGCUACAAUGGUUAGGACAAAGAGUUGCGAGCUUGUGAAAGUCAGCUAAUCUCGUAAACCUAACCCCCAGUUCAGA
This 763-nucleotide ribosomal RNA is filed under the name Dicrateria rotunda. Its description in RNAcentral is "bacterial SSU rRNA". It matches the Rfam family "Bacterial small subunit ribosomal RNA", at positions 528 to 1297 of the family's 1533-position model. Lineage: Eukaryota; Haptophyta; Isochrysidales; Isochrysidaceae. The record is from RNAcentral.